Molecule: transfer RNA, 74 nt
Filed under: Candidatus Berkelbacteria bacterium
Lineage: Bacteria; Candidatus Berkelbacteria
Description: tRNA-Cys
Rfam family: tRNA
About the family: Transfer RNA (tRNA) molecules are approximately 80 nucleotides in length. Their secondary structure includes four short double-helical elements and three loops (D, anti-codon, and T loops). Further hydrogen bonds mediate the characteristic L-shaped molecular structure. tRNAs have two regions of fundamental functional importance: the anti-codon, which is responsible for specific mRNA codon recognition, and the 3' end, to which the tRNAs corresponding amino acid is attached (by aminoacyl-tRNA synthetases). tRNAs cope with the degeneracy of the genetic code in two manners: having more than one tRNA (with a specific anti-codon) for a particular amino acid; and 'wobble' base-pairing, i.e. permitting non-standard base-pairing at the 3rd anti-codon position.
Source: RNAcentral
GGCGUGAUGGCCGAGAGGUUAGGCGGCGGUCUGCAAAACCGCUCACCCCGGUUCGAUUCCGGGUCACGCCUCCA